AAAAAUACGAACAAAUAUAAAUCGUUUUCAAUUACGACACGAGUCAAUAUCGGUUAGGUCACGGAAAAUUAAUGCAUCGAUAUAUCGAUUAGAUCCGAUUCGGCCUGUUUUCCUGGGUCCGGCUUUUAAAUUACCGAUUCCCGUACAGUCGCGAGUGACAGCGGUAGAGAAGACGGUUUACGAUUCUUGUGCGCCGCGUUCCCUACCGUUUGAAAAUCCCCGUUCAGAACGAUUCGUCCGAUUUAGAAUAGAUACGAAACGGUUAAUUAUUAUAAAUUUCAUCUUAUCAAAUUGUGUAUGCCGAUUAACGGA
Non-coding RNA from Cinara cedri, 312 nucleotides. The record is from the annotation of a GenBank genome assembly. Lineage: Eukaryota; Metazoa; Arthropoda; Insecta; Hemiptera; Aphididae.